UACUAUGGGUGUGCUGAGAAUUCAGUGCUCA
RNAcentral lists this non-coding RNA (31 nucleotides) under Mus musculus (house mouse). Lineage: Eukaryota; Metazoa; Chordata; Mammalia; Rodentia; Muridae. The record is from RNAcentral.